AAGUCGUAACAAGGUUUCCGUAGGUGAACCUGCGGAAGGAUCAUUAUUGAACAAACCGGUGUCGGCUGAGCUGGCCUCUUCGGAGGCAUGUGCACGGUCCACCAUUGUUUCAUCCUUCUCUUCCACCUGUGCACUUCUGUGGGUCCACUCCAGCGCACCUGGUGCGCUGGACUCUGGUACCUACGUUUUUACUACCCACACCAUUGAAUGUUCAGAACGCAUGAAUGCGGCAUUCUUGCCCAUAAAACUUAAUACAACUUUCAACAACGGAUCUCUUGGCUCUC
RNAcentral lists this unclassified non-coding RNA (284 nucleotides) under air metagenome. RNAcentral describes it as "partial contains small subunit ribosomal RNA, internal transcribed spacer 1, and 5.8S ribosomal RNA". The stretch from base 1 to 46 matches the Rfam family "Eukaryotic small subunit ribosomal RNA", at positions 1786 to 1831 of the family's 1831-position model. The record is from RNAcentral.